GUUUAUUAGUCAUACAUGAUAAUGAAUUGCAAAUUCAUAGGUGAAAAAUUUUCAUAAACUUU
Molecule: transfer RNA, 62 nt
Filed under: Blastopsylla occidentalis
Lineage: Eukaryota; Metazoa; Arthropoda; Insecta; Hemiptera; Aphalaridae
Description: tRNA-Cys
Source: RNAcentral